CGCACCUUGCACCCUUUGGUAUUCCGAAGGGUAUGCCUGUUUGAGUGUCAUUAAAUUCUCAACCUUCUGUGAUCUUUUUUGAUCACAAAGGCUUGGAUUGUGGAGGUCAGUGCUGGCUUAUUGUGUCGGCUCCUCUGAAAUGCAUUAGCGCUCCCAUGUGGAUUAGGCUUUGGACUGAUAAUUAUCAUCUAUGCCAAUAGCAUUAUGACACUUGAGUGACUUGUAUAUUACAUUUGACAAUUUGACCUCAAAUCAGGUAGGACUACCCGCUGAACUUAA
This 279-nucleotide unclassified non-coding RNA is filed under the name Calathella columbiana. RNAcentral describes it as "partial contains 5.8S ribosomal RNA, internal transcribed spacer 2, and large subunit ribosomal RNA". The record is from RNAcentral. Lineage: Eukaryota; Fungi; Basidiomycota; Agaricomycetes; Agaricales.